This 748-nucleotide ribosomal RNA is filed under the name uncultured bacterium. RNAcentral's name for it is "bacterial SSU rRNA". It matches the Rfam family "Bacterial small subunit ribosomal RNA", at positions 8 to 796 of the family's 1533-position model. The record is from RNAcentral.
AGAGUUUGAUCCUGGCUCAGGAUGAACGCUGGCGGUAUGCUUAACACAUGCAAGUCGAACGAAUCCCUUCGGGGAUGAGUGGCGGACGGGUGAGUAACGCGUGAGAAUUUACCAAAAGGACUGGGACAACCACUGGAAACGGUGGCUAAUACCGGAUGAGCCGAAAAGUAAAAAGGGAAACCUGCCUUUUGAAGAGCUCGCGUCUGAUUAGCUAGUUGGUGAGGUAAGAGCUCACCAAGGCAGCGAUCAGUAGCUGGUCUGAGAGGAUGACCAGCCACACUGGGACUGAGACACGGCCCAGACUCCUACGGGAGGCAGCAGUGGGGAAUUUUCCGCAAUGGGCGAAAGCCUGACGGAGCAAUACCGCGUGAGGGAAGAAGGCUCUUGGGUCGUAAACCUCUUUUAUCAGGGAAGAAAAAAAUGACGGUACCUGAAGAAUCAGCCUCGGCUAACUCCGUGCCAGCAGCCGCGGUAAUACGGAGGAGGCAAGCGUUAUCCGGAAUUAUUGGGCGUAAAGCGUCCGCAGGUGGCUUAUCAAGUCUGCUGUCAAAGAGUGGGGCUUAACCCCAUUAAGGCAGCGGAAACUGAGAAGCUAGAGUGCCGUAGGGGUAGAGGGAAUUCCCGGUGUAGCGGUGAAAUGCGUAGAGAUCGGGAAGAACAUCGGUGGCGAAAGCGCUCUACUGGACGGCAACUGACACUCAGGGACGAAAGCUAGGGGAGCGAAUGGGAUUAGAUACCCUAGUAGUCC